UACGAAGGGGGCUAGCGUUGUUCGGAUUUACUGGGCGUAAAGCGCGCGUAGGCGGGUCGUUAAGUCGGGGGUGAAAUCCCGAGGCUCAACCUCGGAACUGCCUUCGAUACUGGCGACCUAGAGUCCGGGAGAGGUGUAUGGAACUCCUAGUGUAGAGGUGGAAUUCGUAGAUAUUAGGAAGAACACCGGUGGCGAAGGCGAUACACUGGCCCGGUACUGACGCUGAGGCGCGAAAGCGUGGGGAGCAAACAGG
RNAcentral lists this non-coding RNA (253 nucleotides) under Alphaproteobacteria bacterium. RNAcentral describes it as "contains 16S-23S intergenic spacer region". It matches the Rfam family "Bacterial small subunit ribosomal RNA", at positions 524 to 776 of the family's 1533-position model. Lineage: Bacteria; Pseudomonadati; Pseudomonadota; Alphaproteobacteria. RNAcentral also lists the same sequence under 2 other names. The record is from RNAcentral.